Molecule: long non-coding RNA, 2260 nt
Organism: Pan troglodytes (chimpanzee)
Lineage: Eukaryota; Metazoa; Chordata; Mammalia; Primates; Hominidae
Exons: 3
Source: RefSeq, a predicted model, not a curated record
CAGACGUCCAUGUGCUGGAGCUGGGCAUGUACGAAAGCCACGUGGCGGCUCCAGGCUGCUGCUGUGGCACAGGUGUGCCUUGGCGUCGGUGAGGUGUGGCAUGGCUGUGCGGUGGCGCAGGUUUCCAUUUGCAUCUGGCUUUUGUGUGGCACUAGAAGAGAUCAGCUUUUUGCAAGCAUGGGGCUGAUGAACGCAUUUGCACAAAGGGAGACGGCGGAGUAGCAGGAGUUUGCAAGCUGCUUCAUUAACUUGGAGCCAGUGGAAUGUCUGGGAUCGUCUGUGAUUUGGAAACCGGUGGCAGAAUGUUCCCGCGUUUCUGGUCCUCAUCAGUCAGGGCUGGACAGAUGCAGCAUCCUGGGCUCAGCAUGGAGCCUCCUGGCUUCCCCAAACCACGCAUGGCUGAGCUUGCAGCCUUGUUCAGCUGACCCUGCCCUGCAGGCCCCUCUGAGCUCCACAGAGCGUUGACACCAGUCUGACUUCCAGGGGGAUGGGAAGGAAGCCCCUCUGCAGCUGCUUCCAGUUCUUCCUGAGGCCUGGCCUAGGCUGCCCCUGCUGCAGGGAGCUGUCUCCUCCGGUGCCACAGCAGUCACGGUGACCUUGCCUUCUCCUGCCGGUGCCCCCAAGCCCUCAGCUGUCUCUCCUCCGUCUUUCCUCUGUCCCCACAUCCUUUGUCUCCUGGGCUGGGCUGUUGCUGAGGCUGCUGUGAGAUGCACAGAUCCCCAGGACCCUUGGGCUGGCCCCCUCAGAGGCUUGAGGGCCUGGUGACCUGGGUCCCCUGAGCAGCUUCUGUCCUCCAGGUCACUCUGCUGUUUCAGCAUCCGCACAGCCCAGCCAACCCCCUAGGAUGCCGCCUUCCAAGGUCAUGGCCCUGGGUCAGGGCAGAGCAGGCAGAGGAGCCGUAUGGGCAGAGCAGAGGGGCUUCAUAGGUGCCCCUGUAUUGGGUGCCCUACUAAAGCAGAAACCAGUGCCAGCCUAGACAGCGAUGACCAGCAGCCUGUGACCUCUGGAGCCCGAGAUGUGUCCGGACAUAUCACGUCAGCCCAGGUGGCGCUGAGUGCUGGGAACCCAGCUAUGGUGGGUGAUGUCCAGACGGCUUCCCUUGGGUCAGCUGCAGCCCGGCUUCCUGUCGAGGGCAGGGAGGUACAGUGGCUACACACAGCCCUGAGGGAGGCUGAGGUAUUGCCACCUUCAAUAGCCAGAGCCGCAUCCCACACACGGGGCUGGACUCUCCCGGCUGUGGGGUGAGGCUGGGCCGCAUGGCCUAUGGCAAAUGCCCCUCAAACCCUAAUGCAUCCACGGUCAACCUGGUGAGUUCUGACUCAGCCUGGCCAGGUUCCCCUGGAGCUGGCCCCCUGAGCGCGUGUUGAGUUGGGGUGGAGGGGCUGGAGGGCCUUUCUCGAGCAGACCUUCAGAGAGGAGCGCUGGCCCUGUCUUUCCUGAUUCUGAACGUGUCCAAGGCGUUUCAUCACGUGAUGGAUUACCAGGCUGGUUGGUUCUACCGAAAGGCAGCAGCACAAGCUUUUCCUGGAUUUCUCACCAUUGUUCCUUUAAAUAAUCAGUCUUAAUUAACUCCAUCCGAAGAACAUAUUUUCCCCAAGGGUAGGGAGUCCCAGUCAGGUGGAGCAAGUUGGAACUGCAAACUGCAUUUGAUAGCUGUGGUGUUGGGAGGAGCCCCCUGGCUACUGCGAGGGGUGUCUCCGUGAUGGGCGGGCAGAUGGAUCAGCACCAACCCCUGCUGGCACUUUCUGACAUUUCUGUUGCCCUCAUUUGAUAGAUCGGGAAACUGAGUCACAGAAAGGUUUGGCAAUCUGCCCCAGGUCACUUCCCCUAAGCACAGACGUCCUUGUGGACGAGGAGAAGAGGCAGAACUCAGAGGGGAAAACCCUUCUUCCACACAGCAUCUGCUGUGGCCACCUGCCCCCACCUGCCCCUGUCCCCACCUCUCCCUGUCCCCAACCUGCCCCACCUGUCCCCGUCCCCACCCGCUCCUGUCCCCACCUUUCCCAUCUGCCCCUGUCCCCAUCCUGUCCCCAUCUGCCCCACCUGCCCCACCCAUCCCUGUGCCCAACCUGCCCCACCUGCCCCUGUCCCCACCUGUUCCUGUCCCUACCUGCCCCACUUGUCCCUGUCCUCACCUGCCCCACCUACCCCUGCCCCCACCUGCCCCUGUCCCUGCCUAUCCUUGUCCUGCCCACCUGUUCAUGUCCUCACCUGUUCCUGUCCCCCACCUGCCCCUGUCCUCACCUGCCCCAUCCCACCU